Molecule: unclassified non-coding RNA, 349 nt
Filed under: soil metagenome
Description: partial contains 5.8S ribosomal RNA, internal transcribed spacer 2, and large subunit ribosomal RNA
Rfam family: 5.8S ribosomal RNA (bases 1-120)
Source: RNAcentral
GAUGAAGAACGUAGCGAAAUGCGAUAAGUAAUGUGAAUUGCAGAAUUCAGUGAAUCAUCGAAUCUUUGAACGCACAUUGCGCCCGCCAGUAUUCUGGCGGGCAUGCCUGUCCGAGCGUCAUUUCAACCCUCGAACCCCUCCGGGGGGUCGGCGUUGGGGAUCGGCCCUUUACGGGGCCGGCCCCGAAAUACAGUGGCGGUCUCGCCGCAGCCUCUCCUGCGCAGUAGUUUGCACACUCGCAUCGGGAGCGCGGCGCGUCCACAGCCGUUAAACACCCCAAACUUCUGAAAUGUUGACCUCGGAUCAGGUAGGAAUACCCGCUGAACUUAAGCAUAUCAAAAGCGGAGGA